GAUGAACGCUGGCGGCGUGCCUAAUACAUGCAAGUCGAGCGAACAGACGAGGAGCUUGCUCCUCUGACGUUAGCGGCGGACGGGUGAGUAACACGUGGAUAACCUACCUAUAAGACUGGGAUAACUUCGGGAAACCGGAGCUAAUACCGGAUAAUAUAUUGAACCGCAUGGUUCAAUAGUGAAAGACGGUUUUGCUGUCACUUAUUGAUGUAUCCGCGCCGCAUUAGCUAGUUGGUAAGGUAACGGCUUACCAAGGCAACGAUGCGUAGCCGACCUGAGAGGGUGAUCAGCCACACUGGAACUGAGACACGGUCCAGACUCCUACGGGAGGCAGCAGUAGGGAAUAUUCCGCAAUGGGCGAAAGCUUGACGGAGCAACGCCGCGUGAGUGAUGAAGGUCUUCGGAUCGUAAAACUCUGUUAUUAGGGAAGAACAAAUGUGUAAGUAACUAUGCACGUCUUGACGGUACCUAAUCAGAAAGCCACGGCUAACUACGUG
This 497-nucleotide ribosomal RNA is filed under the name uncultured bacterium. RNAcentral describes it as "partial 16S ribosomal RNA". It matches the Rfam family "Bacterial small subunit ribosomal RNA", at positions 28 to 507 of the family's 1533-position model. The record is from RNAcentral.